RNAcentral lists this ribosomal RNA (813 nucleotides) under soil fungal sp. DM2-400. RNAcentral describes it as "eukaryotic LSU rRNA". It matches the Rfam family "Eukaryotic large subunit ribosomal RNA", at positions 88 to 936 of the family's 3401-position model. Lineage: Eukaryota; Fungi. The record is from RNAcentral.
GGCGAGUGAGCGGCACAGCUCAAAUUUGAAAUCUGGCGCAAGCCCGAGUUGUAAUUUGCAGAGGAUGCUUUUGGUGCGGUGCCUUCUGAGUUCCCUGGAACGGGACGCCGGAGAGGGUGAGAGCCCCGUACAGUUGGACACCAAGCCUUUGUAAAGCUCCUUCGACGAGUCGAGUAGUUUGGGAAUGCUGCUCAAAAUGGGAGGUAAAUGCCUUCUAAAGCUAAAUACCGGCCAGAGACCGAUAGCGCACAAGUAGAGUGAUCGAAAGAUGAAAAGCACUUUGAAAAGAGGGUUAAAAAGUACGUGAAAUUGUUGAAAGGGAAGCGCUCGUGACCAGACUUGCGCCCGGCGGAUCAUCCGGCCUUCUGGCCGGUGCACUCCGCCGGGCUCAGGCCAGCAUCGGUUCUUCCGGGGGGACAAAAGCGGUGGGAACGUAGCUCCUCCGGGAGUGUUAUAGCCCGCCGCAGAAUACCCCCGGGGGGACCGAGGACCGCGCUUCGGCAAGGAUGCUGGCGUAAUGGUCACCAGCGACCCGUCUUGAAACACGGACCAAGGAGUCAAGCAUUAGGGCGAGUGUUUGGGUGUCAAACCCGCACGCGAAAUGAAAGUGAACGCAGGUGAGAGCUUCGGCGCAUCAUCGACCGAUCCUGAUGUUUUCGGAUGGAUUUGAGUAAGAGCCUUGCCGCUUGGACCCGAAAGAUGGUGAACUAUGCUUGGAUAGGGUGAAGCCAGAGGAAACUCUGGUGGAGGCUCGCAGCGGUUCUGACGUGCAAAUCGAUCGUCAAAUCUGAGCAUGGGGGCGAAAGACUAAUC